RNAcentral lists this ribosomal RNA (62 nucleotides) under uncultured bacterium. RNAcentral's name for it is "partial 16S ribosomal RNA". The record is from RNAcentral.
GAGCGGUGUACCUAAAGUCGGUAACGCAGAGCCGCCUAGGUAAAACGUAGGUGACUGGGGCU